GGUUGAUCCUGCCAGUAGUCAUAUGCUUGUCCCAAAGAUUAAGCCAUGCAUGUCUAAGUAUAAACAAAUCUAUACAGUGAAACUGCGAAUGGCUCAUUAUAUCAGUUAUAAUUUAUUUGAUAGUCUCUUUACUACUCGGAUAACCGUGGUAAUUCUAGAGCUAAUACGUGCAUAAAGCCUGACUAAUUCGUUGGAAGGGCUGUAUUUAUUAGAUAAAAAACCAAUGCCAGUCAAAUGGCUCCUUGGUGAUUCAUAAUAACUUUACGGAUCGUAUGGCCUUGCGCCGACGACAU
Molecule: ribosomal RNA, 293 nt
Filed under: uncultured eukaryote
Lineage: Eukaryota
Description: partial 18S ribosomal RNA
Rfam family: Eukaryotic small subunit ribosomal RNA
Source: RNAcentral